GACGAACGCUGGCGGCGUGCUUAGCACAUGCAAGUCGAACGGAAAGGCCCUGCUUUUGUGGGGUGCUCGAGUGGCGAACGGGUGAGUAACACGUGAGUAACCUGCCCUUGACUUUGGGAUAACUUCAGGAAACUGGGGCUAAUACCGGAUAGGAGCUCCUGCUGCAUGGUGGGGGUUGGAAAGUUUCGGCGGUUGGGGAUGGACUCGCGGCUUAUCAGCUUGUUGGUGGGGUAGUGGCUUACCAAGGCUUUGACGGGUAGCCGGCCUGAGAGGGUGACCGGCCACAUUGGGACUGAGAUACGGCCCAGACUCCUACGGGAGGCAGCAGUGGGGAAUAUUGCACAAUGGGCGGAAGCCUGAUGCAGCAACGCCGCGUGCGGGAUGACGGCCUUCGGGUUGUAAACCGCUUUCGCCUGUGACGAAGCGUGAGUGACGGUAAUGGGUAAAGAAGCACCGGCUAACUACAUG
RNAcentral lists this ribosomal RNA (468 nucleotides) under uncultured bacterium. RNAcentral describes it as "partial 16S ribosomal RNA". It matches the Rfam family "Bacterial small subunit ribosomal RNA", at positions 28 to 507 of the family's 1533-position model. The record is from RNAcentral.